UCUGCCAGACGACAGAAGAAUGGUUAGUACCUCCCAAUUGAGACGCGACCGAGCUCUCAGGUGAGGAACGCCGGCCCCUGCAUCCGAACCAGACCAGCCCAGCUACUGGACCCCAGAGGACAGCAUCACUGGGACCCCAUCAAGCCUGUAUGUGCAGCAUGAGGAACUUUUGGAACCACGAGCAGCACUGCGGAGAGCCGUAAUGGUGUUUGCAGGCGAGACCACACCGAUGCACACUGUGGAAGGCAAGCUGGCGGUGAGGUACGCGAGAGUCAAAAUCCAGGUCAGAAGUGCUGAGGCCGGAGCCACAGGCAGGAGAGGAAGAUACCACCUCGUCUUCACCUGGGAGCUGACUCGGCAACGUGCUGAAUGUGCAGCGCCAGCCCAGGGGGCAGAGCAGGCUCCUGUUUCAACAACUUGUCCAUCCAGAGGAGCCCAAUGCAGAGGCAGAUGUAGAGGCCUGUCCACCUCCAAUGGUCCCGCCACCUCCUGCAGCCCCUGCUGACGAGCCAGGGCCGGCCUGUGCAGCUCUCCUCACCGAACCGAGGACCCUCCAACCCUGGCUGCAGAGCCCUGCCUCGACCCCGUCCUGGUUCCUGCGUCAGAGGAGGAGCUGCCUCUAGCAAAGGCAUCAGGGCCAGCUCAAGGCCCGAUUGUUGAAUGUGGUCACCCUGCCAUCAGAAGUAUUUGUUUUACCCUCACACAUUGACCUUUUACUUUUAUUUUCUUUAAUUAUUGCAUUUUUGUUUUCUCUAUGGCAUGAUUCAGUUUUUUAUUUUUAUUAU
This is a long non-coding RNA of Myotis myotis, 785 nucleotides long. RefSeq lists it as uncharacterized. Lineage: Eukaryota; Metazoa; Chordata; Mammalia; Chiroptera; Vespertilionidae. The transcript has 3 exons. The record is from RefSeq and is a predicted model, not a curated record.